Molecule: ribosomal RNA, 416 nt
Filed under: uncultured bacterium
Lineage: Bacteria
Description: bacterial SSU rRNA
Rfam family: Bacterial small subunit ribosomal RNA
Source: RNAcentral
UCGGGAAUAUUGCGCAAUGGAGGAAACUCUGACGCAGUGACGCCGCGUAUAGGAAGAAGGUUUUCGGAUUGUAAACUAUUGUCGUUAGGGAAGAUAAAAGACUGUACCUAAGGAGGAAGCCCCGGCUAACUAUGUGCCAGCAGCCGCGGUAAUACAUAGGGGGCAAGCGUUAUCCGGAAUUAUUGGGUGUAAAGGGUGCGUAGACGGAAGAACAAGUUGGUUGUGAAAUCCCUCGGCUCAACUGAGGAACUGCAACCAAAACUAUUCUCCUUGAGUGUCGGAGAGGAAAGUGGAAUUCCUAGUGUAGCGGUGAAAUGCGUAGAUAUUAGGAGGAACACCAGUGGCGAAGGCGACUUUCUGGACGAUAACUGACGUUGAGGCACGAAAGUGUGGGGGAGCAAACAGGAUUAGAUACC